UUAGGGUUUUCUUUAUGGCUCAUUAUCAAAGGGUUUGAGGAAAUUCAAAGCAUCAAAACCUACCUUUAUGUACUGCAGGCCACCAAACCAGAAAACCCCGAAUCCGAUCUUCGGAUUCCUCAGAGUUGUUGAUCAACUGUGCUUGCAACGAACGAAAAGUAGGGCAUCUUCCUAAGGAUGCAGAACCCAAUGCUGUACAAGAAACGGGUGAAAAUGAAGAUGAAGAUGGCGCCGUACCCCAUCAUGACGAAUCGAAAACCCAAACCCAUCUCGAUGUGAAAGAUCUUCUGCAAUAGUAACAGGAUUACGAGAAGGACAUCCAGGAUGACGGCCUACAUGGGAUUGAAGCGGACAUAAUGGUUGAAGCUAGGGCUUCAGAUGAAGCUAAGAUAGAGGGCAAAGAAGGCCAUAGUUGAGUUCUGUCUCAACUAUAUAUGGUAAGACAAAACCUACCCAAACCUCCAAUCAAAGAUCUGCCAAUGAAGACAAUGGAGGGACAUUUGGGAGGUUUUCAACUUGCCCAAGUAUAAUGAAAUGAAGCCACAAAGUCCAAUGGAGAGACAUUGGGGAGGUUUUCAAAGAGUAAGUAGUUCUAGAUUUAGUGGUCUAUUUUCAAAUGAUAAGUUCCAAUUCAAUAUCUCAAGUAGCAUCAAAGUUGCUGGAAAUGAAACACGGUCUCUGUCCCUUAUUAGUCCUCUUGUUGACGGGCUUAAUUUAUACUUCAUUUUCUUAAGAGUAUUAACCCCCUUGCUUUGGAGUUAUUGGACAAAAUGCUAACUCAAGAUCCAUCUAAGGUAUUAUUUUUCUAAUGAAUUUACUUAUUUUUAUUUUUUUUUCGUUUGUCAAAUUGAUGUAAAUGUAUAAAUAUCUCUUGUUGUGGGGACUAGUGGGAAUUCGGACUUUGUGUGCUCAAUGAUUAGCAUGACUAUGAGCUACCUUCUUACUCUAUAGAUAGUUCUUUGAUUUUAUAUUAUUUAUUCUGUUAGAUAUUUGAAAUCCAAUGGUUUAAAUGCUGAUGGAUCUUGUUCUAAAGAUAUAGGGCUCCUUAUGGAAUCUGUCUUGUGGGUCCUUGGGGAAAGAAUGAAGUCGACUCCACAGCUACCAUGGAUAAGGAUAUAGUUGUUUAACUUUUAUCGAUUACCUUGAAUUCCUUAACCACAUCAUUGGGUUUGGGUGGCAAGAAAAAAGAAAGCAUAGAAGAGAGAACCUUUUGGCCUGGAAUAAGGCCAGCUCAGUCAUUAAGAGGGCCACAUUUUAGGAAAGAAGAGUCCAAGAUGAUGAUGUGAUACUAAGUUGGCCAGUCCUGUUCUUGGCUCAGUAAAUCUUCUCAGCAGGACCACAUGAUGGACAACUUAGAUAUCAUCCAUGUGUACCAUGAUUAGAGGCAUGUGGAUGGGCUUGCUGCUCUAUAUAUAACAUAAUUGUUUCACCAUAUUAGCACUUUCCUGAUUCCUCAUCCCUGGGUUGCUGGUAGAUGGUUCAUACAUAAAAUCAUUAGUGGAUUUUGUUAGUUGAUGUUGGAGCCAUUAUUUAAGAAUAGUACAUUGGGCUAGUUUUUGUGUCCUACAACUGACAACAUGUUGACAAAUUUAGCUUCUAGAAAGAAGAUUCUGAAUUCUUAUUUGUUUUCAGAAAGAAAGAAGAUUAGCUUCUAAUAUUGGAGAAGAUAAUACAUGGGGUUCCGGUUUCGCUCAUUACUCAUGAAUUGAUGUGGUUUCUGUUGUUUGGACAACAUGGGAAUACUGAAGUGUAUACAUCUUUGGAAAGAUGCAAACCACUAAUUGUAGUUUGUGUUCUUGCUAUUUCUAGUUAGUUAUAGUGCCCAUGUUACUGACGUCCCAUUUGGUUUGUCUACAGUGAUUUCAGCUAAUUCAUGAAUUGUACUUAUAUGUACUAUCUACAUCACAAAGGACAAAACUUAUACGAGCAACACUGGCAACAUUGCAUGCUUUUCUAUCAUGGAUUCCUCUAGGCUAUAUAUUUGAAUCCCCGCUGCUGGAAACAGUCCUAAAGUUCUUUCCCAUGCCAUUGUAUAGGAAUCUUAUUCUCCCGUGUUUAACGAAGGUAAGAAUCCAUUUCAUGGUUUAAUAGAAAUCUAUAUUUUAGCAUUUUUCUUUGUUAGUAGUGAUUAUUCUAUGUUUCCUAAUGUCAUGCUGUUCACAGGUUGCGUCCCUUCAAUUUGAAGAUUACUAUGACUUGCAAUAUGUUAAAAUGUACACUAUUUUCAUGGUGCAA
Magnolia sinica is the source of this 2235-nucleotide long non-coding RNA. RefSeq lists it as uncharacterized. The record is from RefSeq and is a predicted model, not a curated record. NCBI's taxonomy places the organism in Eukaryota, Viridiplantae, Streptophyta, Magnoliopsida, Magnoliales, Magnoliaceae. The transcript has 3 exons.